GACGAACGCUGGCGGCGUGCUUAACACAUGCAAGUCGAACGGAAAGGCCCUGCUUUUGUGGUGUGCUCGAGUGGCGAACGGGUGCGUAACACGUGAGUAACCUGCCCUUGACUUUGGGAUAACUUCAGGAAACUGGGGCUAAUACCGGAUCGGAGCUCCUGCUGCAUUGUGGGGGUUGGAACGUUUCGGCGGUUGGGGAUGGACUCGCGGCUUACCAGCUUGUUGGUGGGGUAGUGGCUUACCAAGGCUUUGACGGGUAGGCGGCCCGAGAGGGUGACCGGCCACAUGGGGACUGAGAGACGGAGCAGAAUGCAACGGGAGGCAGCAGGGGGGAAUAUGGCACAAUGGGAGGAAGCGUGAUGCAGCAACGCCGCGUGCGGGAUGACGGCCUUCGGGUUGUAAACCGCUUUCGCCUGUGACGAAGCGUGAGUGACGGUAAUGGGUAAAGAAGCACCGGCUAACUACGUG
RNAcentral lists this ribosomal RNA (468 nucleotides) under uncultured bacterium. Its description in RNAcentral is "partial 16S ribosomal RNA". It matches the Rfam family "Bacterial small subunit ribosomal RNA", at positions 28 to 507 of the family's 1533-position model. The record is from RNAcentral.